ACAGGAUGUAGUGUCGUCAUUACAGACUUCUCCCGCCUAUAUUCCAGCUCCUGGAUACACGAUGACAGGGGGAGUGAGUAGUCUCUUUCAGUUACUUUAACAGUGAUUCUCCAUUUUGUUACACGUGGCAUAUAGCUGUUAACUGGCACAAAGGAAGUGGGGGAGGAGUUAGUAAAGGAAGCUGUUAACACAGGAAUUUUGGUUACA
Molecule: non-coding RNA, 207 nt
Organism: Pelobates cultripes (western spadefoot toad)
Lineage: Eukaryota; Metazoa; Chordata; Amphibia; Anura; Pelobatidae
Source: the annotation of a GenBank genome assembly